RNAcentral lists this ribosomal RNA (447 nucleotides) under uncultured bacterium. RNAcentral's name for it is "SSU rRNA". It matches the Rfam family "Bacterial small subunit ribosomal RNA", at positions 26 to 518 of the family's 1533-position model. The record is from RNAcentral.
AGAGCGAACGCUGGCGGCAUGCUUAACACAUGCAAGUCGCACGGCUGGGGUAACUCAGCAGUGGCGGACGGGUGAGUAACGCGUAGGUAUCUAUCUCCGGGUGGGGGACAACUGUGGGAGACUACAGCUAAUACCGCAUGAAACCCGAGGGUCAAAGCAGCGAUGCGCCUGGAGAGGAGCCUGCGUACGAUUAGCUUGUUGGUGGGUAAUGGCCCACAAGGCGACGAUCGUUAGCUGGUCUGAGAGGAUGAUCAGCCACACUGGGACUGAGACACGGCCCAGACUCCUACGGAGGCAGCAGUGGGGAAUAUUGGACAAUGGGCGCAAGCCUGAUCCAGCAAUGCCGCGUGAGUGAAGAAGGUCUUCGGAUUGUAAAGCUCUUUCGACGGGGACGAUGAUGACGGUACCCGUAGAAGAAGCCCCGGCUAACUUCGUGCCAGCAGCCGC